RNAcentral lists this ribosomal RNA (422 nucleotides) under uncultured archaeon. Its description in RNAcentral is "partial 16S ribosomal RNA". It matches the Rfam family "Archaeal small subunit ribosomal RNA", at positions 323 to 746 of the family's 1478-position model. The record is from RNAcentral.
CUACGGGCGGCACCAGUUAGGAAUAUUCUACAAUGCGCGCAAGCGUGAUAGAUUGAGUCAGAGUGCGCUUCAAUUUGGAGUGCUUUUGUGGAAUCUAAAAAGUUCUACGAAUAAGGACUGGGUAAGACGAGUGCCAGCCGCCGCGGUAAUACUCGCGGUCCAAGUCGCAGCCAUUUUUAUUGGGUCUAAAACAUCCGUAGCUUGCUUCUUAAGUUCCUUGUGAAAUUCUGUAUCUCAAAUACAGAGCGAGCAAGGAGUACUGGGAAGCUAGAGACUGGAAGACGUAACGAGUACGUUCAGAGUAGCGGUUAAAUGUGUUAAUCCUGGACGGACUAACAACAGCGAAGGCACGUUACGAGGACAGUUCUGACAGUAAGGGAUGAAGGCUAGGGGCGCAAAACGGAUUAGAUACCCGGGUAGUC